UGGGGAAUUUUGGACAAUGGGGGGAAACCCUGAUCCAGCCAUCCCCGCGUGUGCGAUGAAGGCCUUCGGGUUGUAAAGCACUUUUGGCAGGAAAGAAACGUCGCGGGUUAAUACCCCGCGAAACUGACGGUACCUGCAGAAUAAGCACCGGCUAACUACGUGCCAGCAGCCGCGGUAAUACGUAGGGUGCAAGCGUUAAUCGGAAUUACUGGGCGUAAAGCGUGCGCAGGCGGUUCGGAAAGAAAGAUGUGAAAUCCCAGAGCCUUAACUUUGGAACUGCAUUUUUAACUACCGGGCUAGAGUGUGUCAGAGGGAGGUGGAAGUUCCGCGUGUAGCAGUGAAAUGCGUAGAUAUGCGGAGGAACACCGAUGGCGAAGGCAGCCUCCUGGGAUAACACUGACGCUCAUGCACGAAAGCGUGGGGAGCAAACAGGAUUAGAUACCCUGGUAGUCCACGCCCUAAAACGAUGUCAACUAGCUGUUGGGGCCUUCGGGCCUUGGUAGCGCAGCUAACGCGUGAAGUUGACCGCCUGGGGAGUACGGUCGCAAGAUUAAAAACUUAAAGG
This 565-nucleotide ribosomal RNA is filed under the name uncultured bacterium. RNAcentral's name for it is "partial 16S ribosomal RNA". It matches the Rfam family "Bacterial small subunit ribosomal RNA", at positions 355 to 907 of the family's 1533-position model. The record is from RNAcentral.